UACGGGGGGAGCAAGCGUUGUUCGGAUUUACUGGGCGUAAAGGGCGCGUAGGCGGUCGUGACAAGUCACUUGUGAAAUCUCCGGGCUUAACUCGGAACGGUCAAGUGAUACUGUCGGACUAGAGUACAGAAGGGGCAACUGGAAUUCUCGGUGUAGCGGUGAAAUGCGUAGAUAUCGAGAGGAACACCUGCGGCGAAGGCGGGUUGCUGGGCUGAUACUGACGCUGAGGCACGAAAGCCAGGGGAGCGAACGGG
This 254-nucleotide ribosomal RNA is filed under the name uncultured bacterium. Its description in RNAcentral is "partial 16S ribosomal RNA". It matches the Rfam family "Bacterial small subunit ribosomal RNA", at positions 524 to 776 of the family's 1533-position model. The record is from RNAcentral.